RNAcentral lists this ribosomal RNA (661 nucleotides) under bacterium enrichment culture clone WG_312. Its description in RNAcentral is "bacterial SSU rRNA". It matches the Rfam family "Bacterial small subunit ribosomal RNA", at positions 74 to 714 of the family's 1533-position model. The record is from RNAcentral.
CGGAGCUUGCUCCACCGGAAAAAGANGAGUGGCGAACGGGUGAGUAACACGUGGGUAACCUGCCCAUCAGAAGGGGAUAACACUUGGAAACAGGUGCUAAUACCGUAUAACAAUCGAAACCGCAUGGUUUUGAUUUGAAAGGCGCUUUCGGGUGUCGCUGAUGGAUGGACCCGCGGUGCAUUANCUAGUUGGUGAGGUAACGGCUCACCAAGGCCACGAUGCAUAGCCGACCUGAGAGGGUGAUCGGCCACAUUGGGACUGAGACACGGCCCAAACUCCUACGGGAGGCAGCAGUAGGGAAUCUUCGGCAAUGGACGAAAGUCUGACCGAGCAACGCCGCGUGAGUGAAGAAGGUUUUCGGAUCGUAAAACUCUGUUGUUAGAGAAGAACAAGGAUGAGAGUAACUGUUCAUCCCUUGACGGUAUCUAACCAGAAAGCCACGGCUAACUGCGUGCCAGCAGCCGCGGUAAUACGUAGGUGGCAAGCGUUGUCCGGAUUUAUUGGGCGUAAAGCGAGCGCAGGCGGUUUCUUAAGUCUGAUGUGAAAGCCCCCGGCUCAACCGGGGAGGGUCAUUGGAAACUGGGAGACUUGAGUGCAGAAGAGGAGAGUGGAAUUCCAUGUGUAGCGGUGAAAUGCGUAGAUAUAUGGAGGAACACCAGUG